CACCAUCUGUGUACUCAUGGAAUGCCUCAUCCAUUUGUAUGGCAUUUGCACAGCCUGGUGUGUGACCAAAUAACUCAUUUCACAGCAAAGGAAGAGAAGCAGAGGGCUCAGGUUCACAAAAUUCACUGGCCUUAUCAUACACCCCAUUCCUGGUACCAAUUUUAAAACAUUUCAUCCUCAUCACCACCCGCUUCCACCGCUGAGCUAACAUAAUCCAUGCCUCGCACUUUCAUUAAUAGCUUUAUUUCUUCCUAGGUCCCCAGCAACUUUACAGAGCAAGGAAAGACAGAGGAAUUGGGGCCUUCUCCAUGCAGGUCGCCCUUUUCAACUAUUUUCCUGUCUGCCCCGCUGACGCGUCCGCCGCCGGAACACCCCGCUGGCUGCGAGAACCUCCUCUCUCUGACUUCCCGCCUUCCUGCUGCGAUCCCGGUUCCGCCCCUCUCCAGCACCCUCGGCCGCUAGCGCCUAAGCUCUCCGCGGCCACCAGGGGGCGCCCGCGGCCAAGUCUGGGCGCGGGAGACGCCAAGCGCCC
This 532-nucleotide long non-coding RNA is filed under the name Macaca nemestrina (pig-tailed macaque). RNAcentral describes it as "lncRNA (ENSMNEG00000045897.1)". Lineage: Eukaryota; Metazoa; Chordata; Mammalia; Primates; Cercopithecidae. The record is from RNAcentral.